GAAGUGACUGAGAUUACCAAAUGGAGUAGUCUAGAUUUCACAUGCAACACGGCUGUGCCUUUCCUGAGAGCUCCAGGUCUUGGCUGAGGAAAUAGGAUAAGUAGAUUUUGAACAGAGGGAGAGGAGAGCACAUCUGAGCACCUGGAGGGAUCUUCAGUGGAGGUGGUGGGUCAAGGAGACCCCCAACAUGGGGACGUGUCAAGGAGAAGAAGAAAACCUGGGUGUCCCAAAGCUGUCCGCUUGCGCAGGGCUGGACAUCUCUGCUGUAGGUUUUCUCUGUCUCCAACACCUGCUUCUUGCCUGGGAGGGCAUGUGGCCAGGGCUGCACCCGCCUCACACCCCAGCACUGACUCCUGUCCUCAAUUCUCUUCUCUGUCCUCCCUCCAUGUUCUGCUGCGGUGUGUGGGAGAGAGGACAGUUGUGGUUUUAAUUACGACAGGCUCCUUCAGGAGGUGGAAUUAUAUCACCAUUAUGAGUCUUUCAACCUUGAGAAGUCUUGGAAAACCAAGGCUAAUCACCCUGGUGUAGUCCACGGCUGAAAUCUCCAGGUCCUGUGACAAUAAGGACAGGUAAAGGUGACUGCGGUGUGGAAAUCGCCCUGCAGUCUGGGGCCCUGUUCUGUCAUCUGCCCUACCCACGUUCUUGAAGUUUUUUGCAAAAACUUCGCUGUCCUGUGCAGGAGUUGUGUGUCUGGGUGUAUUUUUGUGGGUGUAUGUGUUUCAGAAACUUUUCAUCUCAAUCACAAAGAGGUUUGUAGCCAGGAGGUUUCUGAAAUGUAUCAUGGAUGGAGACAACCCUCCACCAGUGCCCUGGUGCUUCUGCUGAGGUGAGUCCGGAUGACCUUGUCACCCCCCUUGGAGAGGAUAUUUGUAAGAACCAGACACAGAGCACAUGUGGGGAGUGAGUGUUGGAGGAGGCCCAGAGCAGAUGGAGAGAGGCAGACAGGGAACCUCCCUCUGCAGCGAUGUCACUGAAGACGUGCCUGGAGCUGUCUUCUCCUCCUCGGUCUUUGACAGAGAGGUGUUCCCUGGCCAGCGUCUGCAUCAACACCCAUUUCAUUUCUGGAAAUCCACUCCCCCCCUACCUCCAGAAGUCCACAGCUCAAUCCCAUGAUCUUUGAACGGAAGGAAGGAAGGGAAAAUCUGUUGGGCCUGGCUAAGGAGAGAGUGGGAGGAAGGUGACCUUGGGGACACAUUCUUGUGAGGGGAAGGACAGAGCUGGUUGGAUGGGGUCUGCCUGGCGGCCUAGUGAGCUCAGGCUGCCAUCAUAAGACACCACAGCCCGGUGGCUGAAAUGAUAGAAAUAUGUUCCUCGCAGCUCUGGAAGCCGGGUGCUGAGACCACGGUGCCAGCACGGUUGGGUCCUGGCUUGCAGAUGGUCACCUUCUCACUGUCCUCACAUGGCCUUUCCUAGCUUUGUGUGCCUGGAGACAGGGAGCGAUUUUGGUCUUCCUCUCACAAGGGCACCGUCUCAGUCCAUUUGGAUGCUACAGUGAAGUGCUGGAUGAUUAAGAACAGAAAUGUGUUGCUCAGAAUUGUGGAAGGCGGCAAGUCCAAAGUCAAGGUGCCAACAGACCCAGUGUGUGGCGAGGGCUGUGAACUCUGCUUCAGAGAUGGUGCCCUCUUGCUGGGUCCUCAGAUGGUACAAUUGGAAAGAGUUUUCUCUUCAGUCUCUUUUAUAGAGGCAUGAAACUUAAUCAUGAGGCGCCAUCCCUCUGACCCAAUCACCUCUCAAAGCCCUCAACUCCUAAUGUCAACUUGGCCUUUGGGGUUAAGUGUCCACAUGUUGAUUUUGCGGGGACGCCUGCAUUCGGAACGCAGUAGUACACCCUAAUCCCACCAGUGUCCUACCCUCAUGAUCUCAUCUAAAAUUCGUUACCUCCUAAAGGCCCUACCUCCAGUGGCUAUCACAUUGGGAUUCAGGCUUCAACAUGAGUUUCUGGGGACACCCACAUUCCACUCACAGAAUCCUGGUAGGGUCUCAGAGCCCAGCCUGCCCGUAGCUGCUCUGCCUGGUGGAGUUCAGCCCCCUGCCCCCGGCCCUCCUCACUCCCUGCCGUGAGGAUCUCCUCUUCCUGGGGGUGUCGGGGAGGUGACAGCCCUGGAGGCUGAGUGGGGAGAGAGGCAGAGGAAACUUCUGAGAAAUCUAGCUCAAUCACUUUACGGUUCCAUAGACACACACUGGGCUUUGAUUUUGAACUGGACCACAGGUAUUGGAGCUUUCUAACGGGUUAAAUAAGCAAACAAAACAAAACAGCCACGGCCCAAACAAUGAAAAAAAAAAAUUGCACUCACAUUUAAAAAAUUUUAAUAAGUUUUGCAGUAGAGGGGGAGGAGGGACAGGGAUUCCCCGAUGCUUGGGAUGUAGCGGCAACCCUGACGUGGUGGGAAGAGAGGACGGAGGGAUGGGUGGUUUGCAUGCUGUGGCCACCAGCACAGCUUGUCACCUCUCCAUUCAGGGCGCUCACCCCUGAGGGGGGGCAGGAAGGCGAGGAGCAGGGGGAGUUCAUUCUCGCACCAGUUGCAUGAAAAGUCUCUGUGUUUUCGUUUUUCUUCUUUUUACUUGGAUUCAUAUAAAAGUCCCCCAUCAUUUGUGCCUGAGUGUCUACUGUGACUCCACGUUAUGUCCCAGGAGUGUGAACCCCAGGAGCCAGCUCUCGCCACCUUCAAAGACAAAGUCGCUGCCAGCAAGGCUGCCCAGUCCCCUCCACACAGGGAGGCUCUGUCUUUAGGCACAAUGGCCUCGAAGCAUUACUGCCUCGUUUGCUUUAAGCAGAUACCAGGAUUUGCAAUUUUUGAAAGCAAAUUCAAUUAACAUCCUUUACUUUGGGGGUGUUUCUUUUUUUGCCCUUCGAAAGUCACUCACCCCCCGUCUGUUGACAGCAGAACCUCAGAUCCAGGCCGUGGGGGACUGUUUUCUUUCACUGUGCUCCUCUGUGGUGAAAGAAGUUAAAAGUAAGCCCUUUUCAGUCUCCAUAUUCACAGUUAUUGAAGGAAAGAGCCAAAUUAUCCUUCUGAAUGUUGUAAGACCCGAGUUGACCCCAAAUUGUGCUGUGAGAGGAAACAGAUGGGAAAAUAAAAGAUGUCCUUUUUAAAAGAAACCCUUUCUUAGAGCAGGGCUUCUAUGGAGAACGCGCCCCCAUUCCCAAGAACGAGGAGGUCCCCACGCGAGCCCCGCACAGCUGAUUGGCCUAAGCAAUCUGGUGGAGGAGCAAAUCCACCGCCUGAUCACCGCAUUGUAAUUGGUUUUGAAAACACAUUUGCAAAAAUGGCAGGAAGCCAAAUCCCCCGCUCUCUGCACUGCUUUCCAUCCGCGAGGGCGUGUUCCGUAUUUAAAGUAUUUUCCUUCUCUGUGACCACCAGAAUUCCAAAGGGAUAAAAUAUCCCAAAUCUUUUGUGAACUGGGUCCUGGCUUCAGGCAACCUCCCCAUGGUAAGGAGAGACCACGCUCAGGUUUUCCUAUCUUCCCAGCAGGAUAAAACUGGCCAAGAGUUUGCUCCUGUUGCUCAGGGCUGGCUCAAGUAGGAAGCAGACUGGAUCGCCAGGGACUUCAAGUCCAAUAAAUGUAGAAAUGUCUUUCGAAGGCCUAGAGAGCACACGAAGGCAUGAGUGUGAACACGUGUGUGCUAUUUUCUGGUUGCAGUACAUGAGUGAGAUGGUAGCUUUGGAUUUUUGCUGAGAUCUGGUCUGGUCUUUCCUUCUACUCUCCCUUCCUCCCUUGCUUCCUAUACAAAGGAUUGGACUCAGGGGUGUCUAACCACUGAGCCACAUCCCCAGCCCUUUAUUAUAUUUUAUUUAGAGUCAGGGUUUUGCAAAGAUGCUUAGGGCCUCACCAAAGUUGCUGAGGCUGGUUUUGAACUCAUGAUCCUCCUGACUCAGCCUCUGAGCUGCCAGGAUCACAGGUGUGUGCUCCGUACCUGGCUUGAGAUUCGGUAUUUCCAAUUCAGAGGCCAAGCUUUGUGUCUUAGCUGCACGUGACGAGCAAGAAGCAGGUGGAGAUGAGGAUCACUUUCGUCCUGGUGGCGGACAGAUGUUACUGUUGGGAUGGGCACUGGAGAGGUCAUCAUAGUGCUGGUGGCGGUGUGCCUGUACUAAAGGCAGAAAGAAAGCUACGGAAUUCAGAUUCUCCACAGUAGAAGUUUUGGCCUUUGUUUUAGCUUUUGUGCUACGAAGAGUUGCUAUAAAUAUGAACGUGACUGGCAAAAUCUGCAGAUUAAGUAAAACCUGUGAAGGCUAUAACAUGCUUCAUACACACCCCGCAGUGGCAGCGUCUAUUCAUAGACGCACGUUCUAGAAUUCACCCUCUUUCGCGGUCUUUUAAAAGCUCACUCAUUCUGUGUUUAUGUGUACUUUUCUCCUCCCCUCUCUUGUUUUGAGCAGCCUCACUGGAGAUGUGUGAGCAGGGUAGCUUUCAAGAUUGUAUCGUCUAGAUCAAAGGGCAGGACUAUUCCCUGAUGUGGGCCAAGGGAUUAUUUCACAAGAAAUCCUCUGUGACAUGUGGGAUGACAUGACACUUGGGAAACAUAAGGAUAUAAGUCAAUAUUCCCUCACCAGCUUCAAAGUUGGAAAUCUUUUAUAUAAGGCUUUUUUUUAAAAUAAUUAAAUUACAAUCUUUUUUUUCUUGCUGUUGCUCCUUGUCUAUUACUCUCUCAUUGCAACUGACACCUGAAAAAUUUCCCUGCUAAUUUUUUCUGGUGAUUUUGCCCCUAGGGUGUGCAUUCACAAUCUUGGCUGCAGCAGGACGUUGGGGUCUUGCUACUCCUUGACAUCCUGGUCCCUCCUUUUCAGCAAGGCCUAGAAGGAGAUUCACUUUGCUUCAGGACUGGGCAAAUUCAAAGUAUUUAAAUCCUUCCUGCUUUUUUUUUUUUUUAACCUCUCUGAGUCAGGAGUAGCUGGAAAUCCUGGGCAUCUACAUCCACUUGGAUUUUGCAAAAACAGACCCUGUGAUAGGAAUUUUUGUGACUCGUCACAGGUAACAUCUGGUCUGAACAGGAAAGACCAAACUGGGAACGAACUCUUUCCAAUGAAUGUCUCUGCUCCCCAAGGCACAUCCCCUGGAUGGGAUUUAGAUUGUGUCAAUCUUAAUCUUUAAAAUCUCUGACCUGUUUUCCUCCUGGGUCCUGGAAGAAGGCUUGUGACAGGAGGCUGGGAACGUUUCAAGUGUGCUCCACCUGGGUGCUUCUCAGACUUCAGUGUGCUUCUCCUUCUCUGAACCAUUUGUCAAAAUGCAGAUUCCGGUCCCUUAGGUUGGGGUGGGUGGGGCUCAAGAUUCUGCCUUUUGGGAAGUGCCUCUUGGUGCUCGGGAGCCCACUCCAAGGCCUAAAUGAUUCCUUCUGGCUUCCUCAGUGACAGUGAGGGAGGUUGGACAUGGGGUGGGCAGGGUGCAAAGGUUCUGGAAAAUUCCGGCUCACAGGCCCACCAGUGUUCUGCCCAUUUGCAGGCCUUCUGCCUUUAGGUUUGGAAUAAACCAAGCCAGACUGUACUCUUUCGGGAGCCUGCCUGUGGGAGACGGAGUAGAGACAGGUUUCAGAAGGGAAAGAGAUGAGGCCGAUACAGAGAAAGAUAAAGACGGACGAGACAGACAGUCUCUGCUGUAAUUCCUGUCACUCUCUAUCUCUCCCAUCCUUUCCUCUCUGUUUCAAUUUCUUUUUUUCUCCAUCUUGUGUCCCUCAUUGCUUUUCUGUCUGUUGUGAGAUAACAGAAUAAUUUCACUAAAGCUCAGAGGUAGUGGGGGCUUGGAAAGCAGCACCUGAGCCCUAACUCUGCCAGCGGAUGUAGCUGGGAGCUGGGCCGGUCACCAGGGGUCUCUGGGCCUCAGUUUCCUUUUCUGUACUGUGAGCCAGGUUGGUGAGGCUCUUUCCUGCUCCCCACUGCUAAGAUUUAUAAUCCAUGUAAAUAUGUUUAUCUGCUACUUGGGGCAAAUCUGUUCAACUUUCAAUGUAAAUGAGCUAACUGUGAGUCGUCAGGGUUACUGAAGUGCAUAAUUCCCAUUUCUGCGGGGCGUGCAGCCCCGCGCUUCCGAAGCUCUGGAGUGAGAAUCAUACCCACCCCUCCUAGCACCACCCCAGCGCGUGGGGUGUGCGUGAACCACCCUCCGGAUUUCUCAGAAUUAAAAAUCUGUUCUUCUUUAGGGCUUUCACAGCCUUUGUCAUUUCAGCAAUUUAAACGAUUAUCAUUAUUAUUAUUCAUAUCGUUUUAGGGGCAGAUUCUCAUCUAUGUCCCCAGAGUCGGAACACUCGCUUGGAACCCUUCAGUAGAAGCCUGUUUUGUACAGAAUGCCAGACUUGGUGCUUCUUGGGAAAGGGCCCUGUUGCUUCAGGAGAGCUGGGGUGUGGUGGAGGGAAGGGGAGGGACCCAACACCUCUCUUUUGAUUUUCCUGUAAUCGUUUGUGUUGCAAAUGCCACAGGCAAUAGGUAACCAGACAAGAAACUGGGAGAAGAAAGACAGAAGCCAGGAAGCAUGGCGGAGGGUAAGGCCUGUCCACUGGAGUCUGUCAUCCCCCAGGAAGAGUCUCAGCUAGGCUCGGUCCUUGUUCUGCGUCUGUAGAGAUCAUGGAAACCAGCUGGGAGAGAGGUUGACAUUGUUCUGGAACAUUUGGCAAUGAUACAGAGAAACAGGACUUCACCUAUGGCAGUUAUCAACGGACAAAACCACUACAACUUACCUGGGCCGGGUGGUGCCUGCCUGUAAUCCCAGCGGCUUGGGAGGUUGAAACAGGAGGAUCCCCAAGUUUAAAGCCAGCCUCAGCAAAAGCAAGACACUAAACAACUCUGUGAGACCUUGUUUCUAAAUGAAAUCCAAAAAAGGGCUGGGGAUGUGGCUCAGUGGUUGAGUGUCCCUGAGCUCAAUCCUCGGUACUACAAAAGAACUACCACAAUUUAGUAGAAAGACCUUAUCUGCAAUUUUGAAAGCAGGCCGCACUUCACUCCGUGAAAUCGAGUAAAGUAGACAGCAGGACCUGAAGAAGAGAAAGUGGAUCAGACAUUCCAAAACGACUCUCCUCGUAAGGACAAGAAGAUAGAACUAUAGAAAAAUACCUGGUUAACAUCGGGUUACUUCCCAUUACCUUUUUUUCCUCUCUCUCUCUCUCUUUUUUUAUUUUUAAUCGUAAGGAUUAAGACAGAGGGAAGUUCUUUAUCGUGCCAAUUGAAACUGGGCAGUGGGGGAAAUCUGGCUGUUAUUUCUGCAAUCCUGAUUUCUAGGAAGGUCAGGUAACAGCUUAUUUUUGGUUUGGUGCCCUGGAACUUUAGUGCGAGUGACUUCAUUUUGAAUUUUGGUAGAGGAGUCUCGUCCCAACCAAUGGCCUCCUAUAAUUUUUGCUUGACAGUAGCUAGGGGCACUUAGAGAUUGCUUCUUAGAAAUGGCGACUAACACAGAGGGUCUUCAUCUGUGUUGUCACAUGUCCCUGGGCACCCAAGGUCCCUUAGCCGGUGAGGGUGGCGAUAAGAGAGCAGCCCUAAAUCCCAAGCAUCCCUUCAUGGGAUGGAACCUGUGGGACCAAGCAGUCCAGACCGGAGGGGACGGGAAGGCAGCCUAUGAACCUUCCAGAGAGGGUACCCAGAUCAUCACUCGCCUUUGAUGGACUUCAGCCUUGACCCUCGGACCUCAAAGUGCGUUCACAAAUAAGCAAUCAGCCAAGCCAAACAUGCCAGUCGAGAGAUCAGUUUCCCAGAACUGCUACUUCAGAGAAUUUUCAGUACAUCUGGGGAGGUAGGAGAUAGGAGCUCGUCCUAGCCGAAUGCUUCUGAGGGUCUCUAUAACGCCUUUCAGACGCUGUCCAUGUUCAUCUACCUGAUGAAACCUCUUCUAAGGAGAAAGGCAUGGAAAACUCUUGGUCAAAGGCCCCGUCCUGAUUCAUUUUCUUCUCUUUCUCUCUCUCUCCCCCUCUCCUCUAUGCUGAGAUGGAGCCCAGGGCCUCGUGCACGUAGACAGGUGCUCUGCCACUGAGCCAUCCAGCUCUUCAGCUGCUUCCCAAGGGGCCUCUCUGCUGCCUCGCCUGCCCUGUUCCAAAGAACUCUCUUCAGUGCAGCCAGAGAGAUCAGCUGGAACUAUAAGUCAGAUGGGGCCAUCCUUUGUUAUAAAUGGCUUUCAUAACUUUUCAUGGCGAUGUCUAACUUUUAACAUGACAGACACCUAUGAAUCUCUUGCCCACAAGAAGUGGCACAUUAACAAUGACCCCUGUCUCUCCGAGUGUGCUGCACCCCGUCCUGUAAGGUUGUCAGCUCUCUCUUCUGAACCUUGCAUUGAACUAUUCCCUUGCCUUAUGGAAAUGUAUGGUACCUAAGUGGAUUUAUAAGGGUACAUUCACACAUACAUAUUACAUAAAGAUAUUUCUAAAAAAACGCCACGUUAAAUUUUACUUGCCUUUAACUGUAUGGAAAGCUGAUCAAGCUGCGUGCUAUCUUCUGGGACCGUUUCUUCAUGUAAUGAUCUGUU
Non-coding RNA from Ictidomys tridecemlineatus (thirteen-lined ground squirrel), 8436 nucleotides. The record is from RefSeq and is a predicted model, not a curated record. Lineage: Eukaryota; Metazoa; Chordata; Mammalia; Rodentia; Sciuridae.